This 2902-nucleotide ribosomal RNA is filed under the name Klebsiella pneumoniae. RNAcentral's name for it is "23S ribosomal RNA". It matches the Rfam family "Bacterial large subunit ribosomal RNA". Lineage: Bacteria; Pseudomonadati; Pseudomonadota; Gammaproteobacteria; Enterobacterales; Enterobacteriaceae. The record is from RNAcentral.
GGUUAAGCGACUAAGCGUACACGGUGGAUGCCCUGGCAGUCAGAGGCGAUGAAGGACGUGCUAAUCUGCGAAAAGCGUCGGUAAGGUGAUAUGAACCGUUACAGCCGGCGAUGUCCGAAUGGGGAAACCCAGUGCAAUUCGUUGCACUAUCGUUAACUGAAUACAUAGGUUAACGAGGCGAACCGGGGGAACUGAAACAUCUAAGUACCCCGAGGAAAAGAAAUCAACCGAGAUUCCCCCAGUAGCGGCGAGCGAACGGGGAGCAGCCCAGAGUCUGAAUCAGCUUGUGUGUUAGUGGAACGGUCUGGAAAGUCCGACGGUACAGGGUGAUAGUCCCGUACACCAAAAUGCACAGGCUGUGAACUCGAAGAGUAGGGCGGGACACGUGGUAUCCUGUCUGAAUAUGGGGGGACCAUCCUCCAAGGCUAAAUACUCCUGACUGACCGAUAGUGAACCAGUACCGUGAGGGAAAGGCGAAAAGAACCCCGGCGAGGGGAGUGAAAAAGAACCUGAAACCGUGUACGUACAAGCAGUGGGAGCACCUUCGGGUGUGACUGCGUACCUUUUGUAUAAUGGGUCAGCGACUUAUAUUCUGUAGCAAGGUUAACCGUAUAGGGGAGCCGCAGGGAAACCGAGUCUUAACUGGGCGUUAAGUUGCAGGGUAUAGACCCGAAACCCGGUGAUCUAGCCAUGGGCAGGUUGAAGGUUGGGUAACACUAACUGGAGGACCGAACCGACUAAUGUUGAAAAAUUAGCGGAUGACUUGUGGCUGGGGGUGAAAGGCCAAUCAAACCGGGAGAUAGCUGGUUCUCCCCGAAAGCUAUUUAGGUAGCGCCUCGUGAAUUCAUCUUCGGGGGUAGAGCACUGUUUCGGCUAGGGGGUCAUCCCGACUUACCAACCCGAUGCAAACUACGAAUACCGAAGAAUGUUAUCACGGGAGACACACGGCGGGUGCUAACGUCCGUCGUGAAGAGGGAAACAACCCAGACCGCCAGCUAAGGUCCCAAAGUCAUGGUUAAGUGGGAAACGAUGUGGGAAGGCACAGACAGCCAGGAUGUUGGCUUAGAAGCAGCCAUCAUUUAAAGAAAGCGUAAUAGCUCACUGGUCGAGUCGGCCUGCGCGGAAGAUGUAACGGGGCUAAACCAUGCACCGAAGCUGCGGCAGCGACACUAUGUGUUGUUGGGUAGGGGAGCGUUCUGUAAGCCUGCGAAGGUGUGCUGUGAGGCAUGCUGGAGGUAUCAGAAGUGCGAAUGCUGACAUAAGUAACGAUAAAGCGGGUGAAAAGCCCGCUCGCCGGAAGACCAAGGGUUCCUGUCCAACGUUAAUCGGGGCAGGGUGAGUCGACCCCUAAGGCGAGGCCGAAAGGCGUAGUCGAUGGGAAACAGGUUAAUAUUCCUGUACUUGGUGUUACUGCGAAGGGGGGACGGAGAAGGCUAUGUUAGCCGGGCGACGGUUGUCCCGGUUUAAGCAUGUAGGCUGGUUGUCCAGGCAAAUCCGGAUAAUCAAGGCUGAGGUGUGAUGACGAGGCACUACGGUGCUGAAGUAACAAAUGCCCUGCUUCCAGGAAAAGCCUCUAAGCAUCAGGUAACAUUAAAUCGUACCCCAAACCGACACAGGUGGUCAGGUAGAGAAUACCAAGGCGCUUGAGAGAACUCGGGUGAAGGAACUAGGCAAAAUGGUGCCGUAACUUCGGGAGAAGGCACGCUGGUGUGUAGGUGAAGCCCCUGCGGGUGGAGCUGAGACCAGUCGAAGAUACCAGCUGGCUGCAACUGUUUAUUAAAAACACAGCACUGUGCAAACACGAAAGUGGACGUAUACGGUGUGACGCCUGCCCGGUGCCGGAAGGUUAAUUGAUGGGGUUAUCCGUAAGGAGAAGCUCUUGAUCGAAGCCCCGGUAAACGGCGGCCGUAACUAUAACGGUCCUAAGGUAGCGAAAUUCCUUGUCGGGUAAGUUCCGACCUGCACGAAUGGCGUAAUGAUGGCCAGGCUGUCUCCACCCGAGACUCAGUGAAAUUGAACUCGCUGUGAAGAUGCAGUGUACCCGCGGCAAGACGGAAAGACCCCGUGAACCUUUACUAUAGCUUGACACUGAACAUUGAGCCUUGAUGUGUAGGAUAGGUGGGAGGCUUUGAAGCGUGGACGCCAGUCUGCGUGGAGCCAACCUUGAAAUACCACCCUUUAAUGUUUGAUGUUCUAACGUUGGCCCCUGACCGGGGUUGCGGACAGUGUCUGGUGGGUAGUUUGACUGGGGCGGUCUCCUCCCAAAGCGUAACGGAGGAGCACGAAGGUUAGCUAAUCCUGGUCGGACAUCAGGAGGUUAGUGCAAUGGCAUAAGCUAGCUUGACUGCGAGCGUGACGGCGCGAGCAGGUGCGAAAGCAGGUCAUAGUGAUCCGGUGGUUCUGAAUGGAAGGGCCAUCGCUCAACGGAUAAAAGGUACUCCGGGGAUAACAGGCUGAUACCGCCCAAGAGUUCAUAUCGACGGCGGUGUUUGGCACCUCGAUGUCGGCUCAUCACAUCCUGGGGCUGAAGUAGGUCCCAAGGGUAUGGCUGUUCGCCAUUUAAAGUGGUACGCGAGCUGGGUUUAGAACGUCGUGAGACAGUUCGGUCCCUAUCUGCCGUGGGCGCUGGAGAAUUGAGGGGGGCUGCUCCUAGUACGAGAGGACCGGAGUGGACGCAUCACUGGUGUUCGGGUUGUCAUGCCAAUGGCACUGCCCGGUAGCUAAAUGCGGAAGAGAUAAGUGCUGAAAGCAUCUAAGCACGAAACUUGCCCCGAGAUGAGUUCUCCCUGAGACUUUAAGUCUCCUGAAGGAACGUUGAAGACGACGACGUUGAUAGGCCGGGUGUGUAAGCGCAGCGAUGCGUUGAGCUAACCGGUACUAAUGAACCGUGAGGCUUAACCUU